GACGAACGUUGGCGGCGUGCUUAACACAUGCAAGUCGAACGGAAAGGCCCUGCUUUUGUGGGGUGCUCGAGUGGCGAACGGGUGAGUAACACGUGAGUAACCUGCCCUUGACUUUGGGAUAACUUCAGGAAACUGGGGCUAAUACCGGAUAGGAGCUCCUGCUGCAUGGUGGGGGUUGGAAAGUUUCGGCGGUUGGGGAUGGACUCGCGGCUUAUCAGCUUGUUGGUGGGGUAGUGGCUUACCAAGGCUUUGACGGGUAGCCGGCCUGAGAGGGUGACCGGCCACAUUGGGACUGAGAUACGGCCCAGACUCCUACGGGAGGCAGCAGUGGGGAAUAUUGCACAAUGGGCGGAAGCCUGAUGCAGCAACGCCGCGUGCGGGAUGACGGCCUUCGGGUUGUAAACCGCUUUCGCCUGUGACGAAGCGUGAGUGACGGUAAUGGGUAAAGAAGCACCGGCUAACUACGUGCCAGCAGCCGCGGUGAUACGUAGGGUGCGAGCGUUGUCCGGAUUUAUUGGGCGUAAAGGGCUCGUAGGUGGUUGAUCGCGUCGGAAGUGUAAUCUUGGGGCUUAACCCUGAGCGUGCUUUCGAUACGGGUUGACUUGAGGAAGGUAGGGGAGAAUGGAAUUCCUGGUGGAGCGGUGGAAUGCGCAGAUAUCAGGAGGAACACCAGUGGCGAAGGCGGUUCUCUGGGCCUUUCCUGACGCUGAGGAGCGAAAGCGUGGGGAGCGAACAGGCUUAGAUACCCUGGUAGUCCACGCUGUAAACGGUGGGUACUAGGUGUGGGGUCCAUUCCACGGGUUCCGUGCCGUAGCUAACGCUUUAAGUACCCCGCCUGGGGAGUACGGCCGCAAGGCUAAAACUCAAAGGAAUAGACGGGGCCCCGCACAAGCGGUGGAGCAUGCGGAUUAAUUCGAUGCAACGCGUAGAACCUUACCUGGGUUUGACAUGGAUCGGGAGUGCUCAGAGAUGGGUGUGCCUCUUUUGGGGUCGGUUCACAGGUGGUGCAUGGCUGUCGUCAGCUCGUGUCGUGAGAUGUUGGGUUAAGUCCCGCAACGAGCGCAACCCUUGUUCACUGUUGCCAGCACGUUAUGGUGGGGACUCAGUGGAGACCGCCGGGGUCAACUCGGAGGAAGGUGGGGAUGACGUCAAGUCAUCAUGCCCCUUAUGUCCAGGGCUUCACGCAUGCUACAAUGGCUGGUACUGAGAGUGGCGAGCCUGUGAGGGUGAGCGAAUCUCGGAAAGCCGGUCUCAGUUCGGAUUGGGGUCUGCAACUCGACCUCAUGAAGUCGGAGCCGCUAGUAAUCGCAGAUCAGCAACGCUGCGGUGAAUACGUUCCCGGG
This 1343-nucleotide ribosomal RNA is filed under the name uncultured bacterium. Its description in RNAcentral is "16S ribosomal RNA". It matches the Rfam family "Bacterial small subunit ribosomal RNA", at positions 28 to 1378 of the family's 1533-position model. The record is from RNAcentral.